Molecule: ribosomal RNA, 432 nt
Filed under: uncultured bacterium
Lineage: Bacteria
Description: partial 16S ribosomal RNA
Rfam family: Bacterial small subunit ribosomal RNA
Source: RNAcentral
AACGAACGCUGGCGGCAUGCCUAACACAUGCAAGUCGAACGAGACCUUCGGGUCUAGUGGCGCACGGGUGCGUAACGCGUGGGAACCUGCCUUUAGGUUCGGAAUAACUCAGAGAAAUUUGAGCUAAUACCGGAUGAUGUCUUCGGACCAAAGAUUUAUCGCCUUUAGAUGGGCCCGCGUUGGAUUAGCUAGUUGGUGGGGUAAAGGCCUACCAAGGCGACGAUCCAUAGCUGGUCUGAGAGGAUGAUCAGCCACACUGGGACUGAGACACGGCCCAGACUCCUACGGAAGGCAGAAGUGGGGAAGAUUGGACAAUGGGCGAAAGCCGGAUCCAGCAAUGCCGCGAGAGUGAUGAAGGCCUUAGGGUUGUAAAGCUCUUUUACCCGAGAUGAUAAUGACAGUAUCGGGAGAAUAAGCUCCGGCGAACUCCGU